CCUACGGGAGGCAGCAGUGGGGAAUAUUGGACAAUGGGGGGAACCCUGAUCGAGCCAUGCCGCGUGUGUGAAGAAGGCCCUCGGGUUGUAAAGCACUUUCAGUGAGGAAGAACGCCUGGUGGUUAAUACCCAUCAGGAAAGACAUCACUCACAGAAGAAGCACCGGCUAACUCCGUGCCAGCAGCCGCGGUAAUACGGAGGGUGCGAGCGUUAAUCGGAAUUACUGGGCGUAAAGCGCGCGUAGGUGGCUUGAUAAGCCGGUUGUGAAAGCCCCGGGCUCAACCUGGGAACGGCAUCCGGAACUGUCAAGCUAGAGUGCAGGAGAGGAAGGUAGAAUUCCCGGUGUAGCGGUGAAAUGCGUAGAGAUCGGGAGGAAUACCAGUGGCGAAGGCGGCCUUCUGGACUGACACUGACACUGAGGUGCGAAAGCGUGGGUAGCAAACAGGAUUAGAUACCCUUGUAGUC
RNAcentral lists this ribosomal RNA (465 nucleotides) under Vreelandella stevensii. RNAcentral describes it as "partial 16S ribosomal RNA". It matches the Rfam family "Bacterial small subunit ribosomal RNA", at positions 338 to 795 of the family's 1533-position model. Lineage: Bacteria; Pseudomonadati; Pseudomonadota; Gammaproteobacteria; Oceanospirillales; Halomonadaceae. The record is from RNAcentral.